GACGAACCGUGCAAGCGUUGUUCGGAAUCACUGAGCUUAAAGGGCGCGUAGGCGGCAAAGCAAGUCGGGGGUGAAAUCUUUCGGCUCAACCGGAAAAGUGCCUUCGAUACUGCUUUGCUCGAGGAAGAUAGGGGCCACGGGAACGACCAGUGGAGCGGUGAAAUGCGUUGAGAUUGGUAGGAACGCCGGUGGCGAAAGCGCGUGGCUGGAUCUUCCCUGACGCUGAGGCGCGAAAGCGUGGGGAGCGAACAGG
RNAcentral lists this ribosomal RNA (253 nucleotides) under uncultured bacterium. Its description in RNAcentral is "partial 16S ribosomal RNA". It matches the Rfam family "Bacterial small subunit ribosomal RNA", at positions 524 to 776 of the family's 1533-position model. The record is from RNAcentral.